Molecule: long non-coding RNA, 1407 nt
Filed under: Canis lupus familiaris (dog)
Lineage: Eukaryota; Metazoa; Chordata; Mammalia; Carnivora; Canidae
Description: lncRNA (ENSCAFG00030003392.1)
Source: RNAcentral
CUGCACCCCGAUGUUUCUAGCAGCAAUGUCCACAAUAGCCAAACUGUGGAAAGAACCUCGGUGUCCAUCGAAAUAAAUGGAUAAAGGAGAUGUGGUUUAUGUAUGCAAUGGAAUAUUACUCAGCUAAUAGAAAUGACAAAUACCCACCAUUUUCUUUGAUGUGGAUGGAACUGGAGGGUAUUAUGCUGAGUGAAAUGAGUCAAUCGGAGAAGCACAAACAUUAUAUGUUCUCAUUCAUGUGGGGAAUAUAAAUAAUAGUGAAAGGGAAUAGAAGGGAAGGGAGAAGAAAUGGGUAGGAAAUAUCAGAAAGGGAGACAGAACAUAAAGACUCCUAACUCUUGGAAACGAACUAGGGGUGGUGGUAGGGGAGGAGGCAGGGGGGUGAGAUGAAUGGGUGAUGGGCACUGAGGGGGGCACUUGAUGGGAUGAGCACUGGGUGUUAUUCUGUAUGUUGGCAAAUAAAUAAAAUAAAAUUACUGUAAAAUCUAUUGAUAGAAAAAGAAUUACUGUCUUUUGUGCAUGGCAUAAUAGCUGUUUUCAUAUAAAAAAUGAAUGUGUCUAAAUCAGAGACUGAAUAGGUAUGCACAUAUCAUCUGCCUAGAUAUCUAGUUAUCCCUAGAUAACUCCCUGGGGAAAACAGCUCCUUGGAGAGGAAUCCCAGACCCUGACAGGAAACCUGCCCAGAACCUCCAUCUGCACCUGCUCCUGGGCCUUCAAGACACAAGUGGUGAGGAGGGUGCACCCCCUGGUGGUCCUGAUCCCCUUAACAGAGAGGUUUCUGUCUGGGCUCACACUGAGGUUGACUCACUGUGUCCUUCGCACAGUAAUACACGGCUGUGUCCUCAGCUCUCAGGCUGUUCAUCUGCAGAUACAGCGUGUUCUUGGCAUUGUCUCUGGAGAUGGUGAAUCGGCCCUUCACAGUGUCUGCGGAGCCUGUGCUACUUCCACUACUGCUAAUAACUGCUACCCACUUCAGCCCCUUCCCUGGAGCCUGGCGGACCCAGCUCUUGGCAUGGCUACUGAAGGUGAAUCCGGAGGCCACACAAGAGAGUCUCAGGGAUCCCCCAGGCUUCACCAGCUCAUGAAGGUGAAUCCAGAGGCCACACAGGAGAGUCUCAGGGACCCCCCAGGCUUAACCGGGUCUUCCCCAGACUCCACCAGCUGCUCCUCACCCUGGACACCUGCAGACACAAAACAUCCUGGUCAAACAACUGUCCCACAUCCCCUGUUUAUCUCACUCACUUCCACUCACAGACUCAAGGUCUCUGGUUCUCUUUGAAUUACCUUUUAAAAAUAGCGAAAAGGAAAACCCAGCAUAGGACAGACUCCAUGAUGGUUUGACUGUGUUGUGUCCUGAUUCCUGAAUCGGGUCAUCUUGGGAUCCUGGUGCUGGGGCUCCUCUCCCAG